GCAGAACAUUCUGGAAAGUAUAACCAUAGAGGGUGAUAGUCCCGUAUGCGAAAAACAAACCUUAGCUAGCAGUAUCCUGAGUAGGGCGGGACACGAGGAAUCCUGUCUGAAUCCGGGUCGACCACGAUCCAACCCUAAAUACUAAUACCAGAUCGAUAGUGCACAAGUACCGUGAGGGAAAGGUGAAAAGAACUGAGGUGAUCAGAGUGAAAUAGAACCUGAAACCAUUUGCUUACAAUCAUUCAGAGCCCUAUGUAGCAAUACAGGGUGAUGGACUGCCUUUUGCAUAAUGAGCCUGCGAGUUGUGGUGUCUGGCAAGGUUAAGCAAACGCGAAGCCGUAGCGAAAGCGAGUCUGAAUAGGGCGCUUAGUCAGAUGCUGCAGACCCGAAACGAAGUGAUCUAUCCAUGAGCAAGUUGAAGCUAGUGUAAGAACUAGUGGAGGACUGAACCCAUAGGCGUUGAAAAGCCCCGGGAUGACUUGUGGAUAGGGGUGAAAGGCCAAUCAAACUUCGUGAUAGCUGGUUCUCUCCGAAAUAUAUUUAGGUAUAGCGUUGUGUCGUAAUAUAAGGGGGUAGAGCACUGAAUGGGCUAGGGCAUACACCAAUGUACCAAACCCUAUCAAACUCCGAAUACCUUAUAUGUAAUCACAGCAGUCAGGCGGCGAGUGAUAAAAUCCGUCGUCAAGAGGGAAACAACCCAGACUACCAGCUAAGGUCCCUAAAUCUUACUUAAGUGGAAAACGAUGUGAAGUUACUUAAACAACCAGGAGGUUGGCUUAGAAGCAGCCAUCCUUUAAAGAAAGCGUAAUAGCUCACUGGUCUAGUGAUUUUGCGCGGAAAAUAUAACGGGGCUAAAGUAAGUACCGAAGCUGUAGACUUAGUUUACUAAGUGGUAGGAGAGCGUUCUAUUUGCGUCGAAGGUAUACCGGUAAGGAGUGCUGGAGCGAAUAGAAGUGAGCAUGCAGGCAUGAGUAGCGAUAAUUAAUGUGAGAAUCAUUAACGCCGUAAACCCAAGGUUUCCUACGCGAUGCUCGUCAUCGUAGGGUUAGUCGGGUCCUAAGUCGAGUCCGAAAGGGGUAGACGAUGGCAAAUUGGUUAAUAUUCCAAUACCAACAUUAGUGUGCGAUGGAAGGACGCUUAGGGCUAAGGGGGCUAGCGGAUGGAAGUGCUAGU
Molecule: ribosomal RNA, 1173 nt
Filed under: Campylobacter jejuni
Lineage: Bacteria; Pseudomonadati; Campylobacterota; Epsilonproteobacteria; Campylobacterales; Campylobacteraceae
Description: partial 23S ribosomal RNA
Rfam family: Bacterial large subunit ribosomal RNA
Source: RNAcentral